Molecule: ribosomal RNA, 235 nt
Filed under: uncultured bacterium
Lineage: Bacteria
Description: partial 16S ribosomal RNA
Rfam family: Bacterial small subunit ribosomal RNA
Source: RNAcentral
CACGGGUGAGUAACACGUAUCCAACCUGCCGUCUACUCUUGGCCAGCCUUCUGAAAGGAAGAUUAAUCCAGGAUGGCAUCAUGAGUUCACAUGUCCGCAUGAUUAAAGGUAUUUUCCGGUAGACGAUGGGGAUGCGUUCCAUUAGAUAGUAGGCGGGGUAACGGCCCACCUAGUCAACGCUGGAUAGGGGUUCUGAGAGGAAGGUCCCCCACAUUGGAACUGAGACACGGUCCAA